Molecule: ribosomal RNA, 468 nt
Filed under: uncultured bacterium
Lineage: Bacteria
Description: partial 16S ribosomal RNA
Rfam family: Bacterial small subunit ribosomal RNA
Source: RNAcentral
GACGAACGCUGGCGGCGUGCUUAACACAUGCAAGUCGAACGGAAAGGCCCUGCUUUUGUGGGGUGCUCGAGUGGCGAACGGGUGAGUAACACGUGAGUAACCUGCCCUUGACUUUGGGAUAACUUCAGGAAACUGGGGCUAAUACCGGAUAGGAGCUCCUGCUGCAUGGUGGGGGUUGGAAAGUUUCGGCGGUUGGGGAUGGACUCGCGGCUUAUCAGCUUGUUGGUGGGGUAGUGGCUUACCAAGGCUUUGACGGGUAGCCGGCCUGAGAGGGUGACCGGCGACAAGGGGACUGCGAGACGGCCCAGACUCCUACGGGAGGCAGCAGUGGGAAAUAUUACACAGUGAGCGGAAGCGUGAUGCAGAAGUGCCGGGUGCGGGAUGACGGCCUUCGGGGUGUAAACCGCUUUCGCCUGUGACGAAGCGUGAGUGACGGUAAUGGGUAAAGAAGCACCGGCUAACUACGUG